CCUACGGGUGGCAGCAGUCGAGAAUCAUUCACAAUGGGGGAAACCCUGAUGGUGCGACGCCGCGUGGGGGAAUGAAGGUCUUCGGAUUGUAAACCCCUGUCAUGUGGGAGCAAAUUAAAAAGAUAGUACCCCAAGAGGAAGAGACGGCUAACUCUGUGCCAGCACCCGCGGUAAUACAGAGGUCUCAAGCGUUGUUCGGAAUCACUGGGCGUAAAGCGUGCGGAGGCUGUUUCGUAAGUCGUGUGUGAAAGGCGCGGGCUCAACCCGCGGACGGCACAUGAUACUGGGAGACUAGAGUAAUGGAGGGGGAAGCGGAAUGCUCGGUGUAGCAGUGAAAUGCGUAGAUAUCGAGAGGAACACUCGUGGCGAAGGCGGGUUCCUGGACAUUAACUGACGCUGAGGCACGAAGGCCAGGGGAGCGAAAGGGAUUAGAUACCCGUGUAGUC
RNAcentral lists this ribosomal RNA (446 nucleotides) under uncultured bacterium. RNAcentral describes it as "partial 16S ribosomal RNA". It matches the Rfam family "Bacterial small subunit ribosomal RNA", at positions 338 to 795 of the family's 1533-position model. The record is from RNAcentral.